AAAGGGAACAGGAAAAGAAAACCGUGAUCCGCUUUUAUGAGAAAAACUGAUGGAUAUAGAGUAGACAGAAACUGGGUAUUUUAGUGACUGGUGUCAGUGAAAUACCAUUGCUGUCAUCGCUGUUUCCCGUGCUCACUGACACAGGAAUAAACUGCUAUGUUACCUUUAAGCGCAUGCUGGCAUACGUAGUCUAACAUCACUUGGGUCGGNNNNNNNNNNNNNNNNNNNNNNNNNNNNNNNNNNNNNNNNUUCCCGUGCUCACUGACACAGGAAUAGACUGCUAUGUUACCAUGCUGGCAUACGUAGUUUAACAUCACUUGGGUCGGUGUCAUGUUCAUCUCAGAUACAGUGUAGUGUCCAUUACGUUAUUUGAACCACAAUGUUUUGUGCGACCAUGUCAGGCGAAGAGUUUGACCGGGAUGAUACAUCCAUGAAGUGUUCACGCAGUUGUCUUAGAGUGAACUCAGACAGAACAGAAAUUGGUUCAGAGUAAAGGGAAGAAGGUUAAAAUUGAUUAUGAUUCUCAAUAUGAUUACGGACCAUGUAAGCAUAUUGAUCUUUUUGAAUAUUAUUUUCAGAUUUUGAAGAAAGAGAUGCCAGAAAAGUUACUACGGAGAUAAUUGGCUUUCGGCUGCCUAGCACCCACAGUGACGUCCUUUUUGGCCCUUCAAUAUCGGCUCUUCUAAUCACCAAGAGUCGAGUUGCUCAUGCAAUUAUAGGGAACGCUUCCUUCGUUUAGAAUACCACGAGUCUGGUUUGUUUUACCUUAAUAAUAAGUGAAGUACAAUCUAACUGUUGCUACCGUAACCUCGUUCAGUAGGAGAGUAACCUCAAAGUCAGAAAGUUAGUGUAUGUUCCCGAUGAAAAGUCCAGCGUUUCCUAGCUACCAUCUGAGGGAUUUAGACUGAAAGCCGCUCAUCGUAAUCUGUGCCCUGGAAUUUGGCGUUCAGGGGUCGGAAUGGCAUCUAAUUAUGGUAUGAGCGUGAAUAUAUUAAAUAUUUUGUAGACGACUAAAUUUGUUUUUAAAAAUUUAAUAUUAGAUUU
Molecule: non-coding RNA, 1044 nt
Filed under: Trichobilharzia regenti
Lineage: Eukaryota; Metazoa; Platyhelminthes; Trematoda; Strigeidida; Schistosomatidae
Description: Eukaryotic large subunit ribosomal RNA
Rfam family: Eukaryotic large subunit ribosomal RNA
Source: Rfam by way of RNAcentral